This 345-nucleotide ribosomal RNA is filed under the name uncultured archaeon. RNAcentral describes it as "bacterial SSU rRNA". It matches the Rfam family "Archaeal small subunit ribosomal RNA", at positions 691 to 1034 of the family's 1478-position model. The record is from RNAcentral.
CCGACGGUGAGGGGCGAAGCCCUGGGGCGCAAACGGGAUUAGAUACCCCGGUAGUCCAGGGUGUAAACGCUGCGGGCUUGGUGUUGGGGGUCCUUUGAGGGCGCCCAGUGCCGGAGAGAAGUUGUUAAGCCUGCUGCUUGGGGGAGUACGUCCGCAAGGAUGAAACUUAAAGGAAUUGGCGGGGGAGCACCGCAACGGGAGGAGCGUGCGGUUCAAUUGGAUUCAACGCCGGACAACUCACCAGGAGCGACGGUUACAUGAAGGCCAGGCUGAUGACCUUGCCUGAUUUUCCGAGAGGUGGUGCAUGGCCGUCGUCAGUUCGUACCGUAAGGCGUUCUCUUAAGU